This 497-nucleotide ribosomal RNA is filed under the name uncultured bacterium. RNAcentral describes it as "partial 16S ribosomal RNA". It matches the Rfam family "Bacterial small subunit ribosomal RNA", at positions 28 to 507 of the family's 1533-position model. The record is from RNAcentral.
GACGAACGCUGGCGGCGUGCCUAAUACAUGCAAGUUGAGCGCUGAAGGUUGGUACUUGUACCCACUGGAUGAGCAGCGAACGGGUGAGUAACGCGUGGGGAAUCUGCCUUUGAGCGGGGGACAACAUUUGGAAACGAAUGCUAAUACCGCAUAAAAACUUUAAACACAAGUUUUAAGUUUGAAAGAUGCAAUUGCAUCACUCAAAGAUGAUCCCGCGUUGUAUUAGCUAGUUGGUGAGGUAAAGGCUCACCAAGGCGAUGAUACAUAGCCGACCUGAGAGGGGGAUCGGCCACAUUGGGACUGAGAAACGGCCCAAAAUCCUACGGGAGGCAGCAGUAGGGAAUCUUCGGCAAUGGACGAAAGUCUGACCGGGCAACGCCGCGGGAGUGAAGAAGGUUUUCGGAUCGGAAAAAUCUGUUGGUAGAGAAGAACGUUGGUGGGAGUGGAAAGCGCAUCAAGUGACGGUAACUACCCAGAAAGGGACGGCUAACUACGUG